AAUUUGUCCUUGGUCACAUUACUG
This 24-nucleotide microRNA is filed under the name Panagrellus redivivus. Its description in RNAcentral is "prd-miR-7957b-5p". The record is from miRBase by way of RNAcentral. Lineage: Eukaryota; Metazoa; Nematoda; Chromadorea; Rhabditida; Panagrolaimidae.